GACGAACGCUGGCGGCGUGCUUAACACAUGCAAGUCGAACGGUGAAUCGCCUUCCUUUUUGGUCGGUGUGGAUGAGUUGCGAACGGGUGAGUAACACUUGUGUAACCUGCCCCCUUCUUCUGCAUAACCGCAUUAAAGUGUGGCUAAUACGGGAUAUUCUGGGUCUGUCUCAUGAUGGGUCUGUGUCAGUUAUUGUUUCUGUGGUGGAUGUGCUCGCGGCCUAUCUGCUUGUUGGUGGAGUGAUAGCCUACCAAGGCGUUGAGGAGUAGCCGGCCUGGGAGGGUGGACGGUAAGAGAGGGGCAGAGAGACGGAGGAGACUCCUACGGGAGGCAGAAGUGAAGAAUAGUGGACAAUGGGGGGAAGCAUGAUGGAGAGACGACGCGUGAGGGAAGGAGGCAUUCGGGUAGUGAAACGCUAUGGGGAGUGAAGAAGGCAGGAAUAGUAUGAGGGUGGGUUGACGGUAGCGGGAGAAGAAGCGACGGCUAACUACGUG
This 494-nucleotide ribosomal RNA is filed under the name uncultured bacterium. RNAcentral describes it as "partial 16S ribosomal RNA". It matches the Rfam family "Bacterial small subunit ribosomal RNA", at positions 28 to 507 of the family's 1533-position model. The record is from RNAcentral.